This 498-nucleotide ribosomal RNA is filed under the name uncultured bacterium. Its description in RNAcentral is "bacterial SSU rRNA". It matches the Rfam family "Bacterial small subunit ribosomal RNA", at positions 28 to 524 of the family's 1533-position model. The record is from RNAcentral.
GAUGAACGCUAGCGGAAGGCUUAAUACAUGCAAGUCGAGCGGUAGGUGGCUUCGGCCAUUGAGAGCGGCGCACGGGUGAGUAACGCGUACAUGACCUGCCUGUCAGAAGGGGAUAGCCCUGGGAAACUGGGAUUAAUACCCUAUGGUAUUGAUAUUAUGAAUGAUAUCAAUUAAAGUUGAGGCGCUGACAGAUGGAUGUGCGUCUGAUUAGCUAGUUGGUAGGGUAACGGCCUACCAAGGCGACGAUCAGUAGGGGGCGUGAGAGCGUGGUCCCCCACACGGGUACUGAGACACGGACCCGACUCCUACGGGAGGCAGCAGUAAGGAAUAUUGGUCAAUGCCCGCAAGGGUGAACCAGCCAUUCCGCGUGGAGGAUGAAGGCCCUAUGGGUUGAAACUGCUUUUGUACGGAACGAAACGGUUCUCUCUAAUACAGGGGGCUAAUGACGGUACCGUAAGAAUAAGCACCGGCUAACUACGUGCCAGCAGCCGCGGUAAU